This is a long non-coding RNA of Acanthopagrus latus (yellowfin seabream), 2082 nucleotides long. RefSeq lists it as uncharacterized. The record is from RefSeq and is a predicted model, not a curated record. The transcript is spliced from 3 exons. Lineage: Eukaryota; Metazoa; Chordata; Actinopteri; Spariformes; Sparidae.
CCUUUCUGUCCAGUUACUUGCUCCUGAUGCAAAUAAACUCCUGCUGUCUCCACUCCCACUCUUUGUGUCGGCGGAUGCAUGCACAGAAAUUGCUUUUACAAUCUGCAGUUGCUGCAACAGCUGUAGAAUCCACCAGCUGAUGGCAGAAACACAGAGGGUGUGGGUGACGUCCAGCCAAAGAAAUGAGGCAAACGGAUCGGUCUGUGUGGAUCUCUGCUCUACUGAUCAUGUGCAUCGACUGCCUGGCUGACAGCAGACUCAGACAAUCAUCCUCAUCCCCUCUCCCAUCAACCUUGGUUUGGCCCGGCCGGCCACAGCUUGCACAGAAUCAAUCUGCUUUGAGAUAUGGGCAGCCGUCACGGCAGUGACCGAUUUUGGCAUGCAAGACUCUCCCUUAAUAGACAAAGAGACGGAGAUCAAUAGCCAAUUUGGCCUUGGAAUGAGGCUAAAAUGGAUCAAGGAAAAUUCAUUUUAUUCUCCUCUCCUGUGCCCGGAGAAUCCAGGAAAAGAGUCUGUCUCCAUGGAGAGUUAUCAGGUGAAGAAUACUGCUCAUACACAGUGUUAUCAGCGGGGGGAAAGCCGUAGCCUGCGGGCGAUGGAGGUGUUUGUGUCACCAUCCUCGGGCUGUCCUCGAGCCUCCUUGGCCCCACCGCAGUACAAAGGAAGGGAUUCAAUUAUGAAGUGACACCUUGAGGCAUGUAGCAAAAGCACGCUGCUUCAAAAGAGAUCACUGAAAAUGUAUCCUUGCCCUUUAUCUCCCUCUGUCUGUCUGCCCGUCUCACUGUCUUUCUCAAGUUCCUGAUGUGUUUCUCUGGGAGGCAUAAAACAGAUAAAUGCAUCUGGUCGCACCCACGUAAGGGGGUUCCAAGGUCAGGGUGCGCUGAGUGUGAGCGAUAACUUUUCCUCUAGAUUAUACAGUUUUAUUGAUUCGGAGCAAUUAGUGCACAACUGAGGGAAUAACUCAGCCCACACAGCUGCAUCGGUAAUGAUGACUAUUUCAAGCAGUCGGAUCUUUACCUGCACAUGGAGGUUUCAUCGUAUUUCCACUUUUUGGAGGGAAGUCAGCUGACAAUAAUUAGCAUGCUAUGUCCCAAAAACAACUGCCAGCAGUGGAGCCGAUGAAGUGGAUUGGAAAAUGCAGUUUCCCCAGUAAACGCACCGACCUAUUUGGCUUUAGUGCUAGUGUCUCUAGUUAUGCGGGGUGAAAAAGCCAAUGACGGCACAACGGACCAGAACCAGGACAGCCUGUCCUGGGAACACCUGUCCACUGUGCCUAAAUAGCCCAGAGACACUCCAGCAGCAAAGAGCUGCUCGUGAGGAUGAGUGAGGAGCAGCAGUAGACAGGGAAGGAGGCUGAAGAGGUUGGUGUGUUUACUGGGGAAACUACAGACGUAACCACAGCUACACUCUGAGUUAACUAUGCAGUUGUUGGUAGAAUGAGCUGAAAAUACAUACAGUAGCUACAUACAUGUACCUGGGUUAACUAAAUAAAUGAUACUAGACAAUACAAAACAAUGCAGUACAUUCAAAAAUGAUGUUCUUGGCUGAAGUCUGAGUUUAUGAAAAGCAGAUAUCCCUGAACAUAUUUCAGUUAUGUUGAGGUUCCACUUGUCUGCUACCCCCCCCACUUUUUUUUGCAGUGUGUAUUGUGUGUUUUCUCAAUGCCAUGAAUAAAUUACAAGGCUGAAAAGAUACAAGUGAGUCAUAUAAGGAUGAAUACCAAUUAGCAGCUUUAGUUGAAAAUCGAAUACUGAAAACCUGCAGAUAUUCUGUCAAUGCACUUUGUAACCUUUGAUUUUGUUGUUCUGUUUUGUUCAUGCAACAUCUUUUCUCCGCCCUGAACAGGGAUCCCUCCUCUGUGACUCUUCCUGAGGUUUCUUCCAUCUUGUAUUUCCCUGAUAAUUACUUUUUUUCUCAAGUGUUCCGUCACUCGUAUCGAGGGUCUAAAGACAGAGGAUGUCGUUCACUGUACAGUUUGUAAAACCCAUUGAGGCAAUGUGAUUGUUGUUUUGGGCUAUUUAAAUAAAAUUGAUUUGAUUGAAACUUAGAGGCACGCUGACACUUAUAUAACGUAACACAAGU